AGUGAACGCUGGCGGUAGGCCUAACACAUGCAAGUCGAACGGAAACACAGUAAGAGCUUGCUCUUACGGGUGGCGAAUGGCGGACGGGUGAGGAAUACAACGGAAUCUACUUUUUCGUGGGGGCUAACGUAGGGAGACUUACGCUAGUACAUCAUACUACCUACGGGUGAAAGCAGGGGAUCUUUGGACCUUUCGCGUUUGAAUGAGCCCAUGUCGGAUUAGCUAGGUGGCGGGGUAAAGGCCCACCACGGCGACGAUCCGUCGCUGGUGUGAGAGGAUGAUCAGCGACACGGGAACUGAGACACGGUCCAUACGCCUACGGGACGGAGCAGUGGGGAAUAUUGGACAAUGGGCGCAAGUCUUGUCCAGCCAUAGCGCGUGGGAGAAGAAGACCUCGGGGUUGUAAAGCCCUUCUGUGGGGAAAGAAAAGCAGCAGGUUAAUACCCCGCUGUCCUGACGGUACCCAAAGAAUAAGCACCGGCUAACUUCGUG
Molecule: ribosomal RNA, 492 nt
Filed under: uncultured bacterium
Lineage: Bacteria
Description: partial 16S ribosomal RNA
Rfam family: Bacterial small subunit ribosomal RNA
Source: RNAcentral